AACGAACGCUGGCGGUAUGCUUAACACAUGCAAGUCGAACGAACAAAAUUGGAGCUUGCUUCAAUUUUAGUGAGUGGCAAACGGGUGAGUAACGCGUGGGAAUCUACCCAUCAGUACGGAAUAACACUUGGAAACAGGUGCUAAUACCGUAUAUUCUCUACGGAGGAAAGAUUUAUCGCUGAUGGAUGAGCCCGCGUAAGAUUAGGUAGUUGGUAGGGUAAAGGCCUACCAAGCCGACGAUCUUUAGCUGGUCUGAGAGGAUGAUCAGCCACACUGG
RNAcentral lists this ribosomal RNA (277 nucleotides) under uncultured bacterium. Its description in RNAcentral is "partial 16S ribosomal RNA". It matches the Rfam family "Bacterial small subunit ribosomal RNA", at positions 29 to 316 of the family's 1533-position model. The record is from RNAcentral.